RNAcentral lists this transfer RNA (71 nucleotides) under Marmota monax (woodchuck). Its description in RNAcentral is "tRNA.Ala". It matches the Rfam family "tRNA". Rfam says of the family: Transfer RNA (tRNA) molecules are approximately 80 nucleotides in length. Their secondary structure includes four short double-helical elements and three loops (D, anti-codon, and T loops). Lineage: Eukaryota; Metazoa; Chordata; Mammalia; Rodentia; Sciuridae. The record is from RNAcentral.
GGGGUUGUGGCUCAGUGGUGGAGUGCUUGCCUUGCAUGUGUGAGGCUCUGGGUUUGAUUCCCAGCACCACA